GUAUAGAUUUCAUUGCCACGACAUUCUAUCAACAUACAUUGGGGGUAAAUGAAGCAACAUAGACCCUGUGAGGGGUCUACAAAAGGUGCACAGGUGGAGAUAUAAAGAUGACAAGGCGUGCACAUGCUCCCUAGAGAACCAGCAACAGCCCAUCAGGUUUAUUUCAAUAAUGAUCCUUCCGCAGGUUCACCUACGGAAA
Molecule: unclassified non-coding RNA, 199 nt
Filed under: uncultured fungus
Lineage: Eukaryota; Fungi
Description: sequence contains ITS1
Source: RNAcentral